RNAcentral lists this ribosomal RNA (464 nucleotides) under uncultured bacterium. RNAcentral's name for it is "partial 16S ribosomal RNA". It matches the Rfam family "Bacterial small subunit ribosomal RNA", at positions 29 to 507 of the family's 1533-position model. The record is from RNAcentral.
AUUGAACGCUGGCGGCAGGCCUAACACAUGCAAGUCGAGCGGAAGAAGGGAGCUUGCUCCUGGAUUCAGCGGCGGACGGGUGAGUAAUGCCUAGGAAUCUGCCUGGUAGUGGGGGAUAACGUCCGGAAACGGGCGCUAAUACCGCAUACGUCCUGAGGGAGAAAGUGGGGGAUCUUCGGACCUCACGCUAUCAGAUGAGCGUACGUCGGAUUAGCUAGUUGGUGGGGUAAAGGCUUACCAAGGCGACGACGGGUAGCUGGUCUGAGAGGAUGACCAGUCACAGUGGGACUGAGAUACGGCCCAGACGCCUACUGUAGGCAGCAGUGGGGAAUAUUGCACAAUGGGCGGAAGCCUGAUGCAGCAACGCCGCGUGCGGGAUGACGUCCUUCGGGUUGUAAACCGCUUUCGCCUGUGACGAAGCGUGAGUGACGGUAAUGGGUAAAGAAGCACCGGCUAACUACGUG